UUCAUGUCACGUACUGGAUAACUGAUUUCACCUUUAGAAUUAAUGUCUUGAAACAUUUUAAUUUGGUUGAUGCUUAGGAGGCAGGAAAAAGUGAUUUUCCUGCCACAGAGUAGAAACAGUUUGAAGAAACUGUUGGAACUGAGAAUCUGAGACCUGACAAUUAGUAGAUUUUAAAGACAUCUGCCUGGGCUUUGUGGCUGAAGAUAGGGCCCAGUGUUCUUUCCUGCCAGCCUCUUACAACAAUACCUGUUUUUUUGCAGGUUACACAGUUGAUGAAAUCAUCCACCUGGCUGCCCAUCUGUUAUAGAGAGGGUGCAAGUUUACAUUUUUCUAAAAGCUCCAUGUAAACUUAAAGCAUUAUCAUUAAACAUCCUAAGCUAUUACAAAGUGUACACUUUGAGUCACAGAGAUAGAAAUAUUCAGUGUGCUUAUGAAAUAUUCUUGUUGGAUUUUAAAAUUUUAAUUUUGACAGAUAUUUUCUCUGUACAGAUUUGGAACAGAGUCCCAGGUCUUCAGACAACAAAUAUUUGCCUGAACAUAGUAACUACAAGGGUAUGGGAAUGCUGGUUCAUGACAAAAGCAAUUAAUAUUUUGCUUUAAAUUACAUCUUAUUAGAGAAUGGAAUCCAUCUUUGCUGUAUCAUAUGACUGCAGUUGAAAAAGUCAUCUGCACCUCCUGCCAGCAAGUAAAAGACAAUUUUAUGUCUGAACAGGAGCAUUAGGAAAACUGCAAAAGCAACUCAACUUCUGAUUUACUGUCCAAAAUCCUGCUUGGUCUCUCCUAGUAGCAACAUAUCAUGUACUACUAUCCAAAUGUUGCCUCUACAUAUUAAUACAGGGAGGAAGAAUACUUUAGGCAAUGGAAGUAACACAACUCAUGUAAAGCUCCCUGUACACAGGUGAAGGAAAAGAAACUGGAAAAUGGCUAGGAGAACAGGGAGCUGAUGCAGCAUUCCGGCUUCUCAUUAGACACUGUUAUAUCUUCCAGUUUGCAAUGGAAGGUUAAAUCGCAAAGCAUGUCAGAAGUCAUUGUUAGAGAGAGUGGAUUUGCUUCACUGGGCAAACUGCAGCCCUUUUUAGUUGUGACUAUAGUGACAGAACAGUUCUGGUUUCCUUUUCUACUAAGAUUUGUUUUGGUUUUGGUUUUUCCUCAGCACUGUUGUGAAAUCUCUGGUUGCUUGGCAGUGGACCCGUGCCAGGAUUUGAUAACGUACUGUAAAACUCUGGCUUAUUUGACUUCACACUAGUGACAGGAUUUGAUAGCUCAUUUUGAAGUGGC
RNAcentral lists this long non-coding RNA (1278 nucleotides) under Gallus gallus (chicken). Lineage: Eukaryota; Metazoa; Chordata; Aves; Galliformes; Phasianidae. The record is from RNAcentral.